RNAcentral lists this long non-coding RNA (976 nucleotides) under Homo sapiens (human). Its description in RNAcentral is "non-protein coding lnc-KBTBD7-1:1". Lineage: Eukaryota; Metazoa; Chordata; Mammalia; Primates; Hominidae. The record is from RNAcentral.
GGGCCCAGGCUGUACAGCUGGCAGUGCCUGACAGCCUACCUGACGCUGAAUUGGAUGGGAUACAGCAUAGGGAGCAGUAGCUGGGUGAGGUAGGAGAAGGGAGUCGGGGUUAUCACUUACAAAUGGUACUGAAGCCUAAACUCUGAAGUGAGUAGGUGCUGUGCUUUUAUGGGCCUCUUUAUGAAGCAAAUUAUGUAAAAGUUGCCAUCGAGGACAAACAAGUGAAAUACUUUACACAUUACGGUGGAUUGGAUGAAAAUUGGAAUGAAUGGGCUCCAAAAAGUAGAGUACUCAGGUACAUGAACACCAAUCUGUAGAAACCGGGAGAACUUCGAGAAGCAAAUCAGGAACAAAAUUCAUGGGGGAAGAGGAGAGAGGCUGCCCCAGCAAAGAAGACAUCUGGUCUGCAAGGGAAAAAUGUUGAAAUCAUGUGGAAAUGGAAAUGGAGCAGUACCAAUGAGAUACCUCAGCCUCCUCAGAAGAGCCCCAGUAGAUGCCGCUGUUGAAAACAUUCAUGAAGAGAGUUGAAGUUAAAGAUUUCUGAAGAAUUAAAACCAUGUUUUGUUGAUGAGUGAGACAUAAUGACCAAACAAAAACAGCUUUAUCUUCGUGCCAGGAAAAAUGUGGAUUCUAUUGUAGAGAAUUAUGUAAAUUACAAGAAAACUUGAGGGACCACAGAUAAUAAGGAGUAUGUUUUUAAUAUGGUUGUGGCAAAAAUGGAAAAUAUUUGAAUAUAAUGUUAGGCACUCAGAUACUUUACAAAUCUGAAAGACUCCAGCAUGCUGAAAUCCUUGAAGAUUACCCAGAGGCACUCAAGUUCCAGGGGUAUGGAAGACCACAUCUGUUGAUAUAAUUUGUAUGAAUUGGACCAAUGUUGACCCAAACACCUCUAGAGGAGAAGAACCUUGCUUUAUGACUGAACUAUCUUCAUAAUGACUUCCUGGUAAAGAAUUCUGCAAUUUUAUUUAAAGCCAAC